RNAcentral lists this ribosomal RNA (271 nucleotides) under Escherichia coli. Its description in RNAcentral is "partial 23S ribosomal RNA". It matches the Rfam family "Bacterial large subunit ribosomal RNA", at positions 208 to 517 of the family's 2925-position model. Lineage: Bacteria; Pseudomonadati; Pseudomonadota; Gammaproteobacteria; Enterobacterales; Enterobacteriaceae. The record is from RNAcentral.
ACCCCGAGGAAAAGAAAUCAACCGAGAUUCCCCCAGUAGCGGCGAGCGAACGGGGAGCAGCCCAGAGCCUGAAUCAGUGUGUGUGUUAGUGGAAGCGUCUGGAAAGGCGCGCGAUACAGGGUGACAGUCCCGUACACAAAAAUGCACAUACUGUGAGCUCGAUGAGUAGGGCGGGACACGUGGUAUCCUGUCUGAAUAUGGGGGGACCAUCCUCCAAGGCUAAAUACUCCUGACUGACCGAUAGUGAACCAGUACCGUGAGGGAAAGGCGA